This 453-nucleotide ribosomal RNA is filed under the name gamma proteobacterium SCGC AAA044-G10. Its description in RNAcentral is "bacterial SSU rRNA". It matches the Rfam family "Bacterial small subunit ribosomal RNA", at positions 354 to 799 of the family's 1533-position model. The record is from RNAcentral. Lineage: Bacteria; Pseudomonadati; Pseudomonadota; Gammaproteobacteria.
GUGGGGAAUAUUGGACAAUGGGCGNAAGCCUGAUCCAGCCAUGCCGCGUGUGUGAAGAAGGCCUUCGGGUUGUAAAGCACUUUAAGUUGGGAGGAAGGGGUNCNGGUUAAUACCUUGCUGUUUUGACGUUACCGACAGAAUAAGCACCGGCUAACUCCGUGCCAGCAGCCGCGGUAAUACGNAGGGUGCAAGCGUUAAUCGGAAUUACUGGGCGUAAAGCGCGCGUAGGUGGUUCGUUAAGUCGGAUGUGAAAUCCCCGGGCUCAACCUGGGAACUGCAUUNGAAACUGCCGAGCUAGAGUAUGGUAGAGGGGGGUGGAAUUUCCUGUGUAGCGGUGAAAUGCGUAGAUAUNGGGAGGAACACCGGUGGCGAAGGCGACCCCCUGGACCGAUACUGACACUCAGGNGCGAAAGCGUGGGGAGCAAACAGGAUUAGAUACCCCCGUAGUCCGGU